Molecule: ribosomal RNA, 401 nt
Filed under: uncultured Glomeromycotina
Lineage: Eukaryota; Fungi; Glomeromycota
Description: SSU rRNA
Rfam family: Eukaryotic small subunit ribosomal RNA
Source: RNAcentral
AGCAGCCGCGGUAAUUCCAGCUCCAAUAGCGUAUAUUAAAGUUGUUGCAGUUAAAAAGCUCGUAGUUGAAUUUCGGGAUCAAGUCGUCGGUCGUGCUUAGGUACGUACUGGCGUCAUUGAUUUCUCCCUUCUGACGAACCAUGAUGUCAUUAAUUUGGUGUUAUGGGAAAUCAGGACUGUUACUUUGAAAAAAUUAGAGUGUUUAAAGCAGGCUCACGCUUGAAUACAUUAGCAUGGAAUAAUGAAAUAGGACGUUCGAUCCUAUUUUGUUGGUUUUAGGAUCAACGUAAUGAUUAAUAGGGAUAGUUGGGGGCAUUAGUAUUCAAUUGUCAGAGGUGAAAUUCUUGGAUUUAUUGAAGACUAACUACUGCGAAAGCAUUUGCCAAGGAUGUUUUCAUUAA